CAGUAGCCGCGGUAAUACGUAGGGUGCGAGCGUUAAUCGGAAUUACUGGGCGUAAAGCGUGCGCAGGCGGUUAUAUAAGAUAGAUGUGAAAUCCCCGGGCUCAACCUGGGACCUGCAUUUGUGACUGUAUAGCUAGAGUACGGUAGAGGGGGAUGGAAUUCCGCGUGUAGCAGUGAAAUGCGUAGAUAUGCGGAGGAACACCGAUGGCGAAGGCAAUCCCCUGGACCUGUACUGACGCUCAUGCACGAAAGCGUGGGGAGCAAACAGGAUUAGAUACCCCCGUAGUCCCUGUCUCUUAUAC
Molecule: ribosomal RNA, 301 nt
Filed under: uncultured bacterium
Lineage: Bacteria
Description: partial 16S ribosomal RNA
Rfam family: Bacterial small subunit ribosomal RNA
Source: RNAcentral